Molecule: ribosomal RNA, 301 nt
Filed under: uncultured bacterium
Lineage: Bacteria
Description: partial 16S ribosomal RNA
Rfam family: Bacterial small subunit ribosomal RNA
Source: RNAcentral
CAGCCGCCGCGGGAAUACGAAGGGUGCAAGCGCUACUCGGAAUUACUGGGCGUAAAGCGUGCGUAGGUGGCGGUUUAAGUCCGUUGUGAAAGCCCUGGGCUCAACCUGGGAAUUGCAGUGGAUACUGGGUCACUAGAGUGUGGUAGAGGAUAGUGGAAUUUCCGGUGUAGCAGUGAAAUGCGUAGAGAUCGGAAGGAACAUCUGUGGCGAAGGCGACUAUCUGGGACAACACUGACGCUGAAGCACGAAAGCGUGAGGAGCAAACAGGAUUAGAUACCCCAGUAGUCCCUGUCUCUUAUAC